GAUGAAGAACGUAGCGAAAUGCGAUACGUAAUGUGAAUUGCAGAAUUCAGUGAAUCAUCGAAUCUUUGAACGCAUAUUGCGCUCUCUGGUAUUCCGGAGAGCAUGCUUGUUUGAGUAUCAGUAAACACCUCAACUCCCUUUUCUUUUUUGAAAUUGGAGCUGGACUUGAGUGAUCCCAACGCUUUCUUCCAAGAAAGUGGCGGGUUGCUUGAAAUGCAGGUGCAGCUGAACUUUUCUCUGAGCUAUAAGCAUAUCUAUUUAGUCUGCCUAAAAACAGAUUAUUACCUUUGCUGCAGCUAACAUAAAGGAGACUAGUUCUUGUGCUGACUGAUGCAGGAUUCACAGAGACAGCUUCGGCUGACUUUGUAAACUCGAUCUCAAAUCAAGUAAGACUACCCGCUGAACUUAAGCAUAUCAAUAAGCGGAGGA
This 429-nucleotide unclassified non-coding RNA is filed under the name soil metagenome. RNAcentral describes it as "partial contains 5.8S ribosomal RNA, internal transcribed spacer 2, and large subunit ribosomal RNA". The stretch from base 1 to 120 matches the Rfam family "5.8S ribosomal RNA", at positions 35 to 154 of the family's 154-position model. The record is from RNAcentral.